This is a long non-coding RNA of Solanum verrucosum, 258 nucleotides long. RefSeq lists it as uncharacterized. The record is from RefSeq and is a predicted model, not a curated record. The transcript is spliced from 3 exons. Lineage: Eukaryota; Viridiplantae; Streptophyta; Magnoliopsida; Solanales; Solanaceae.
CGAUGGAAUAUGAUUUUUGAGAUUAGGAAAGUGAGAUUCCUCUUUAGAUCGUCGCCGGUCAGAGCUACUCCGUCAUCUAUUAGCUCCUGUGUGCUUUUCCAUCUCACUGUAUCACACUGGAAAUAAGAUUUUGAUCGGAAUUGUAUUUAGAUCUAGAGUCGUUCCGUCAACAAUCAUAUGUUUCGUGAAAUGUUGAUGUCUUCUUCAGCUCUAUUUUGCGUCGAUGUUACUCUCUUUGGGAUGGUCAACUAAGGUAUU